GGUGGUGGCUCAGGGGCAGAGCGCUUGCCUAGCACGGGUGAGGCUCUGGGUUCGAUCCUCAGUACCG
Molecule: transfer RNA, 67 nt
Filed under: Marmota monax (woodchuck)
Lineage: Eukaryota; Metazoa; Chordata; Mammalia; Rodentia; Sciuridae
Description: tRNA.Ala
Source: RNAcentral